This 654-nucleotide long non-coding RNA is filed under the name Vulpes vulpes (red fox). RNAcentral's name for it is "lncRNA (ENSVVUG00000024106.1)". The record is from RNAcentral. Lineage: Eukaryota; Metazoa; Chordata; Mammalia; Carnivora; Canidae.
CCUGGCCCUCCCGACAGCACCAGAAACGCCGCUCCGUUUACCCACAUUGCCCCUAUUUAAAAACAAAACAAAAAGCCCCACUCCACCAUCAGCCCUUCAGCAUCCAAGACACCAGGGAAGGACAGACAGUGGUGGGAGGACGCUCCAUAUGCCAGCGGUGUGAGCACUUCACAUAUUGCCCUUCGUUUUACUGAAGAUGAAGAGGGGCAGAAACUCCAAGCACACAAAAUGGAACUAGAAACGGACCCCACCUUGAAGACAUGUACAACCAGGAUAACAGCCUGCCAGGAGGCGGAACCAGGAAAAACGGAGUCUGGACAGAGUCAUCCAUGGGGCACACUGAAAACAGCCCCCAGAUGAGUUUAUUACACCCUCAGCUCUGAAUCACACUGUUGUCCUGGGCACGGCUCAAAUCCAACUCUACAGGGAGAACCUUGAGGUAUGGGAUGGUAUCUCCUCUGGCCACCAAGAGGAUCUGUAUGGCUUUGAGAACUCAGCUGGCAUUUAAAUGCUUCUGAGGGUUAGCCGGUAAGCCAACACGUUUUAAUUUGCUGUGGUCACUGUAGAUAAGCAUGAUAGAAUAUACUGAUUUUCAAAAAUUCGGGCAGCCCCGGUGGCACAGCGGUUUAGCGCCGCCUGCAGCCCGGGGUGUGA